This 490-nucleotide ribosomal RNA is filed under the name uncultured bacterium. RNAcentral's name for it is "partial 16S ribosomal RNA". It matches the Rfam family "Bacterial small subunit ribosomal RNA", at positions 29 to 507 of the family's 1533-position model. The record is from RNAcentral.
AUUGAACGCUGGCGGCAUGCCUUACACAUGCAAGUCGAACGGCAGCAUGAUAUGGCUUGCUAGAUAGAUGGCGCGUGGCGCAGGCGUGAGUAAUAUACAGGAACGUCCACUGUUGCGGGGGAUAAAUAGUCGAAAGACUAACUCAUACAGCACACAACCUGAGGGUGUAAGUGGGGGACCGCAAGGCCUCUUGCUCUAGGCGAGGCCGAGGUCUGAUUAGCUAGUUGGGGAGGUAAAGGCUCACCAAGGCGACGAGCAGUAGAUGGACUGAGAGGAUGAUCAGCAACACUGGAAGUGAGACACGGUGCAGACUCCUACGGGAGGCAGCAGUGGGGAAUAUUGGACAAUGGGCGCAAGCAGGAUCCAGACAUACGGCGUGGGUGAAGAAGGCAGUCGGGUUGUAAAGCCCUUUUGUGGGGAAAGAAAAGAAGCAGGUUAAUACCCCGCUGUGGUGACGGUACCCAAAGAAUAAGCACCGGCUAACUUCGUG